GGCAGGAUCAACCAGGUAGCAUCCCUCAUAGACAUCGAGUCGCAAGAUGUACAACAUCUUGCAGACAUCGAACGUCAAUCGAAUGGGGCACGUAAUGCCAAUUUGGGGUCAAAUAUAGGGUCAUAGGACCCUUACCCGCAGUGUUUUCCGAAUCCCCGAAAUCAAGCUAAGCUCGUGGCCCGAGACUGCAUAGCAAUUUGUAUGCAAUUCGGUACACAAAUUUCGCUUUAUGUUUUGCCCGAUGCCGCACCGUGUAAACGGGCAGCGGUGGGGAAACUUGGGAUAGAUUGCCCAACGAAUUCCGUCGAUGUAGGUAUACAGCACAGGAAACCGACAACUUGGCCAAGGUCAAAGAGACUCUUGUGCCAAUACUUGAAGAGGAAUGCACUAGAGGACGUCGCUACCCAAGUAGGGAUCCAA
RNAcentral lists this unclassified non-coding RNA (420 nucleotides) under Psychotria sp. ck66. RNAcentral's name for it is "partial external transcribed spacer". Lineage: Eukaryota; Viridiplantae; Streptophyta; Magnoliopsida; Gentianales; Rubiaceae. The record is from RNAcentral.